AGUGAACGCUGGCGGUAGGCCUAACACAUGCAAGUCGAACGGCAGCACAGUAAGAGCUUGCUCUUACGGGUGGCGAGUGGCGGACGGGUGAGGAAUACAUCGGAAUCUACUUUUUCGUGGGGGAUAACGUAGGGAAACUUACGCUAAUACCGCAUACGACCUACGGGUGAAAGCAGGGGAUCUUCGGACCUUGCGCGAUUGAAUGAGCCGAUGUCGGAUUAGCUAGUUGGCGGGGUAAAGGCCCACCAAGGCGACGAUCCGUAGCUGGUCUGAGAGGAUGAUCAGCCACACUGGAACUGAGACACGGUCCAGACUCCUACGGGAGGCAGCAGUGGGGAAUAUUGGACAAUGGGCGCAAGCCUGAUCCAGCCAUACCGCGUGGGUGAAGAAGGCCUUCGGGUUGUAAAGCCCUUUUGUUGGGAAAGAAAAGCAGCAGGUUAAUACCCCGCUGUUCUGGCGGUACCCAAAGAAUAAGCACCGGCCAACUUCGUG
This 492-nucleotide ribosomal RNA is filed under the name uncultured bacterium. RNAcentral describes it as "partial 16S ribosomal RNA". It matches the Rfam family "Bacterial small subunit ribosomal RNA", at positions 29 to 507 of the family's 1533-position model. The record is from RNAcentral.